RNAcentral lists this non-coding RNA (93 nucleotides) under uncultured Blautia sp. RNAcentral describes it as "THF riboswitch". It matches the Rfam family "THF (Tetrahydrofolate) riboswitch aptamer". From Rfam's summary of the family: THF riboswitch presents a pseudoknot that joins P1-P2 and the loop of P3 and two THF binding. The record is from RNAcentral. Lineage: Bacteria; Bacillati; Bacillota; Clostridia; Lachnospirales; Lachnospiraceae.
CAAAAUAGGAUUCCAUGCGUUAAGUGUUCCGUGGAUGGGGAGUUGCCACAGAAACGAAAAGUCCGUCUUACGAUAUGGGAUUCGCACCCGUUG